GACGAACGCUGGCGGCGUGCUUAACACAUGCAAGUCGAACGGAAAGGCCCUGCUUGCCGGGUACUCGAGUGGCGAACGGGUGAGUAACACGUGGGUGAUCUGCCCUGCACUUCGGGAUAAGCCUGGGAAACUGGGUCUAAUACCGGAUAGGAGCCAUUUUUAGUGUGAUGGUUGGAAAGUUUUUUCGGUGUAGGAUGAGCUCGCGGCCUAUCAGCUUGUUGGUGGGGUAAUGGCCUACCAAGGCGGCGACGGGUAGCCGGCCUGAGAGGGUGGACGGCCACAAUGGGACUGAGGUACGGCCCAGACUCCUACGGGGGGCAGCAGGGGGGAAUAUUGCACAAUGGGCGCAAGCCUGAUGCAGCGACGCCGCGUGGGGGAUGACGGCCUUCGGGUUGUAAAAUCCUUUCGCUAGGGACGAAGCUUUUUGUGACGGUACCUAGAUAAGAAGCACCGGCUAACUACGUG
This 465-nucleotide ribosomal RNA is filed under the name uncultured bacterium. RNAcentral's name for it is "partial 16S ribosomal RNA". It matches the Rfam family "Bacterial small subunit ribosomal RNA", at positions 28 to 507 of the family's 1533-position model. The record is from RNAcentral.